AAAAAGAUGUGGAAAUCACUCAUGUGGAUAAGAAUCAGGAAUAAGACAACCAGUCAUCAAGGUCCAACAGCUUCCUUCCAACAUGGCUGCCUCAAAGCAGAGCUCCAGAGGAUGAGCCCCAGUGCACAAGACCUAGGAUACUUUUCCAGAAGUGGAUUUGCUGGUCUACAAUCCUGAACAUAGAAACAUAGAAAUCUGAUUUUAUCAGCUUGUCCAUCAAAUAAUCUUAUGAAUUUAUAUCUCUAA
Sciurus carolinensis (gray squirrel) is the source of this 246-nucleotide long non-coding RNA. RefSeq lists it as uncharacterized. The record is from RefSeq and is a predicted model, not a curated record. NCBI's taxonomy places the organism in Eukaryota, Metazoa, Chordata, Mammalia, Rodentia, Sciuridae. The transcript has 3 exons.